RNAcentral lists this ribosomal RNA (449 nucleotides) under uncultured bacterium. Its description in RNAcentral is "partial 16S ribosomal RNA". It matches the Rfam family "Bacterial small subunit ribosomal RNA", at positions 30 to 523 of the family's 1533-position model. The record is from RNAcentral.
AUUGAACGCUGGCGGCAGGCCUAACACAUGCAAGUCGAGCGAGAUCUUCGGAUCUAGCGGCGGACGGGUGAGUAACGCGUGGGAACGUGCCCCUUGGUACGGAAUAGCCCCGGGAAACUGGGAGUAAUACCGUAUGAGCUCUACGGAGGAAAGAUUUAUCGCCAAGGGAUCGGCCCGCGUUGGAUUAGGUAGUUGGUGGGGUAAUGGCCUACCAAGCCGACGAUCCAUAGCUGGUUUGAGAGGAUGAUCAGCCACACUGGGACUGAGACACGGCCCAGACUCCUACGGGAGGCAGCAGUGGGGAAUCUUAGACAAUGGGCGCAAGCCUGAUCUAGCCAUGCCGCGUGAGCGAUGAAGGCCUUAGGGUUGUAAAGCUCUUUCAGCGAGGAAGAUAAUGACUGUACUCGCAGAAGAAGCCCCGGCUAACUCCGUGCCAGCCGCCGCCGUAA